RNAcentral lists this ribosomal RNA (1387 nucleotides) under Bacillus sp. (in: firmicutes). RNAcentral's name for it is "bacterial SSU rRNA". It matches the Rfam family "Bacterial small subunit ribosomal RNA", at positions 51 to 1367 of the family's 1533-position model. The record is from RNAcentral. Lineage: Bacteria; Bacillati; Bacillota; Bacilli; Caryophanales; Bacillaceae.
AUACAUGCAGUCGAGCGGAGAUUUGAAAAGCUUGCUUUUCAAAUCUUAGCGGCGGACGGGUGAGUAACACGUGGGCAACCUGCCCUUGAGACGGGGAUAACUCCGGGAAACCGGAGCUAAUACCGGAUAACACAUAUCUUCGCAUGAGGAUAUGUUAGAAGGUGGCUUUUAGCUACCACUCAAGGAUGGGCCCGCGGCGCAUUAGCUAGUUGGUGAGGUAACGGCUCACCAAGGCGACGAUGCGUAGCCAACCUGAGAGGGUGAUCGGCCACACUGGGACUGAGACACGGCCCAGACUCCUACGGGAGGCAGCAGUAGGGAAUCUUCCGCAAUGGACGAAAGUCUGACGGAGCAACGCCGCGUGAGUGAUGAAGGUUUUCGGAUCGUAAAGCUCUGUUGUUAGGGAAGAACAAGUACCUGUUAAAUAAGCAGGUACCUUGACGGUACCUAACCAGAAAGCCACGGCUAACUACGUGCCAGCAGCCGCGGUAAUACGUAGGUGGCAAGCGUUGUCCGGAAUUAUUGGGCGUAAAGCGCGCGCAGGCGGUUCCUUAAGUCUGAUGUGAAAGCCCACGGCUCAACCGUGGAGGGUCAUUGGAAACUGGGGAACUUGAGUGCAGAAGAGGAGAGCGGAAUUCCACGUGUAGCGGUGAAAUGCGUAGAGAUGUGGAGGAACACCAGUGGCGAAGGCGGCUCUCUGGUCUGUAACUGACGCUGAGGCGCGAAAGCGUGGGGAGCGAACAGGAUUAGAUACCCUGGUAGUCCACGCCGUAAACGAUGAGUGCUAAGUGUUAGAGGGUUUCCGCCCUUUAGUGCUGCAGCAAACGCAUUAAGCACUCCGCCUGGGGAGUACGGUCGCAAGACUGAAACUCAAAGGAAUUGACGGGGGACCCGCACAAGCGGUGGAGCAUGUGGUUUAAUUCGAAGCAACGCGAAGAACCUUACCAGGUCUUGACAUCCUCUGCUACUUCUAGAGAUAGAAGGUUCCCUUCGGGGACAGAGUGACAGGUGGUGCAUGNUUGUCGUCAGCUCGUGUCGUGAGAUGUUGGGUUAAGUCCCGCAACAAGCGCAACCCUUGAUCUUAGUUGCCAGCAUUCAGUUGGGGCCUUCUAAGGUGACUGGCCGGUGACAAACCGGAAGGAAGGUGGGGGAUGACGUUCAAAUCAUCAUGGCCCCUUAAUGACCUGGGGCUACNCACCUGGCUACAAUGGGAUGGGUACAAAAGGGCUUGCAAAACCGGGGAAGGUCGAGGCCAUUCCCCUAAAAACCAUUUUUCAGUUCCCGAAUUGUAGGGNUGGCAACUCCCCCUCACUUGAAAGCCCGGAAUUCCUUUAAAAAAUCCGGGGAUUCNAAAUUGCCCGCGGGGAAAAAACAUUUUCCGNGGNNC